Gopherus evgoodei (Goodes thornscrub tortoise) is the source of this 82-nucleotide non-coding RNA. NCBI's taxonomy places the organism in Eukaryota, Metazoa, Chordata, Testudines, Testudinidae. The record is from the annotation of a RefSeq genome assembly.
AUAGUUGUGGCUGAGUGGUUAAGGCAAUGGACUAGAAAUCCAUUGGGGUCUCCCCACGCAGGUUCAAAUCUUGCCAACUAUG